RNAcentral lists this long non-coding RNA (831 nucleotides) under Struthio camelus australis. Its description in RNAcentral is "lncRNA (ENSSCUG00000008975.1)". Lineage: Eukaryota; Metazoa; Chordata; Aves; Struthioniformes; Struthionidae. The record is from RNAcentral.
CCCCCAGUUUCUGCAGAUCCUAGACUGUUUCCUAGACUUCAGAGGAUAUUUCUGCUGUGGAUGGAGGAUCCAAGUUCCUGAUGAUCUCGAUACCAUUCUGUGAAGUCAAUGGGAGGCACCAGAUCCUGAGAGUCCCAGUUCAAGGCCGAGUUCUCGGUUUCAAAUUCCUUGCCGCGGAGCUGGGCUCCAUCCGCCUCCAGCUACCUGCCUAAUGUGAUCAUUCUGCAUGGUUCUGGAACAGGUAGGGGUUUUGUCCCAGAAGAAGUGGCUUCAAAGAGGAAAAGAAAAAUUGGUUCUACAAAUGUACUUUCUGCCAAAGAUGGUGGAAGAGUGGUCAGAAGUUCUCACUGAGCAGACACAUGCUGUGGGAUAGGAAUGGCAAGUUUGCAUCCUCCAGCCAGAUCCUUACUUCAGGUUGCUUGAGAUAAGUUAGCACGAGGGAAAAUGGACCAUAAACAGCUUACAGGAGGCUGAUGAGGCACAGGGAAAUGAUCUUCAACACAGAUGGCCCUCCUGCUCCAGGAUCUCCAAGGAAAAGAGCUGCAUGUGCGCGUUCAUCCCCUAGAAGAGGAGGGGAUGCAGCCUGCUAAGGGGAAUGGAAACAAGUGUUUUGCCUGUUUUGGAAAAGCGGUGAUAUUGAAGGUAAGAGACAUGAGGACCUGCCAUGCAAUGAUAGCUAACUUGAGAGAACGUAAGAUCUGUGGCCAUGGGUUAACCCUAGCAGAAGACAGCAUCCUAUCUCCAGUGUGGACAACAGGAGAGGGCAGAAUUUGCAAUUUCAGUUCCUCUACGGCUUGAUAAACAGUUACCUCAAUAAAGGCACUUUCAGAC